GAAUAACAUGAAUCACCUCAAUCCCACCUUUUGCGUGAAUCAAAGUUUCAGUGACACAAAGAGUUGAGCUGUUGAGACCAGAUGUUUUCUUUAGAAAUUUUUGGAAACUGAAAUGGCCAAGAGGUCACAGAGUAUAGCUUUUGUUAUUUUUGUGGGAAUAACAGUAAACUCUUAGAUGCGUUGGUCUUUGAAAUAUACUGUUUUCGAUAGUAAUUGGUUUUGGGGUUCACACCUAACUUGAACUAUGGUUGCCCAUUUCUUGCAUUGUUACUGUACUUUUUACAUCUGUUUCAUCUGCCUAUAAUAAACCCACUCCUCUGUCCCAACUCCUUUCUCAACCAAAAAUUUUUCAAAAAAUCUCCUAGUCAUCCUUAAAAACUCCUAUCACCAACUAAUAUUUGAAGUUCUGGACUGUAAUAUUAGUUGUAUUGUA
Molecule: long non-coding RNA, 433 nt
Filed under: Bos taurus (domestic cattle)
Lineage: Eukaryota; Metazoa; Chordata; Mammalia; Artiodactyla; Bovidae
Description: long non-coding RNA NONBTAT022144
Source: RNAcentral